Molecule: ribosomal RNA, 466 nt
Filed under: uncultured bacterium
Lineage: Bacteria
Description: partial 16S ribosomal RNA
Rfam family: Bacterial small subunit ribosomal RNA
Source: RNAcentral
GACGAACGCUGGCGGCGCGCCUAACACAUGCAAGUCGAACGAGCGAGAGAGAGCUUGCUUUCUCAAGCGAGUGGCGAACGGGUGAGUAACGCGUGAGGAACCUGCCUCAAAGAGGGGGACAACAGUUGGAAACGACUGCUAAAACCGCAUAAGCCCACGACCCGGCAUCGGGUAGAGGGAAAAGGAGCAAUCCGCUUUGAGAUGGCCUCGCGUCCGAUUAGCUAGUUGGGGAGGUAACGGCCCACCAAGGCGACGAUCGGUAGCCGGACUGAGAGGUUGAACGGCCACAUUGGGACUGAGACACGGCCCAGACUCCUACGGGAGGCAGCAGUGGGGAAUAUUGCACAAUGGGGGAAACCCUGAUGCAGCGACGCCGCGUGGAGGAAGAAGGUCUUCGGAUUGUAAACUCCUGUUGUUGAGGAAGAUAAUGACGGUACUCAACAAGGAAGUGACGGCUAACUACGUG